UGAUGGCCGUGCUUGCACGGCUGGAUUAGUGGCGAACGGGUGAGUAACACGUGAGUAACCUGCCCUCCACUUCGGGAUAACCUCGGGAAAUCGGGGCUAAUACCGGAUAUGAGCACCUACUGCAUGGUGGGUGUUGGAAAGUUUUUCGGUGGGGGAUGGACUCGCGGCCUAUCAGCUUGUUGGUGAGGUAGUGGCUCACCAAGGCGUUGACGGGUAGCCGGCCUGAGAGGGCGACCGGCCACACUGGGACUGAGACACGGCCCAGACUCCUACGGGAGGCAGCAGUGGGGAAUAUUGCACAAUGGGCGAAAGCCUGAUGCAGCGACGCCGCGUGAGGGAUGACGGCCUUCGGGUUGUAAACCUCUUUCAGCAGGGAAGAAGCGAGAGUGACGGUACCUGCAGAAGAAGCGCCGGCUAACUACGUGCCAGCAGCCGCGGUAAUACGUAGGGCGCAAGCGUUGUCCGGAAUUAUUGGGCGUAAAGAGCUUGUAGGUGGCUUGUCGCGUCUGCCGUGAAAACCCGAGGCUCAACCUCGGGCGUGCGGUGGGUACGGGCAGGCUAGAGUGUGGUAGGGGAGACUGGAACUCCUGGUGUAGCGGUGAAAUGCGCAGAUAUCAGGAAGAACACCGAUGGCGAAGGCAGGUCUCUGGGCCAUUACUGACACUGAGAAGCGAAAGCAUGGGGAGCGAACAGGAUUAGAUACCCUGGUAGUCCAUGCCGUAAACGUUGGGCACUAGGUGUGGGGGACA
RNAcentral lists this ribosomal RNA (749 nucleotides) under Brachybacterium sp. RNAcentral describes it as "bacterial SSU rRNA". It matches the Rfam family "Bacterial small subunit ribosomal RNA", at positions 68 to 831 of the family's 1533-position model. The record is from RNAcentral. Lineage: Bacteria; Bacillati; Actinomycetota; Actinomycetes; Micrococcales; Dermabacteraceae.